RNAcentral lists this antisense RNA (81 nucleotides) under Klebsiella ornithinolytica. RNAcentral describes it as "antisense RNA of dnaA mRNA". It matches the Rfam family "antisense RNA of dnaA mRNA". Lineage: Bacteria; Pseudomonadati; Pseudomonadota; Gammaproteobacteria; Enterobacterales; Enterobacteriaceae. The record is from RNAcentral.
UUUGGCGUUGGGUUUGCGCGCAACAAUGCCGUUACCAACCGCGUGCAACAGGUGGGUUUUACCCAGACCGGUACCGCCAUA